Molecule: ribosomal RNA, 498 nt
Filed under: uncultured bacterium
Lineage: Bacteria
Description: bacterial SSU rRNA
Rfam family: Bacterial small subunit ribosomal RNA
Source: RNAcentral
ACUCAAAGGAAUAGACGGGGACCCGCACAAGCGGUGGAGCAUGUGGUUUAAUUCGACGCAACGCGAAGAACCUUACCUGGACUAGAAUGUGAGGGAAGAGAGGGUAAUUCCGAUCGUCUGGGAAACCAGACCCAAAACAAGGUGCUGCAUGGCUGUCGUCAGCUCGUGUCGUGAGAUGUUGGGUUAAGUCCCGCAACGAGCGCAACCCUUAUCAACAGUUGCCAUCAUUAAGUUGGGAACUCUGUUGAGACUGCCGUUGAUAAAACGGAGGAAGGUGGGGAUGAUGUCAAGUCAUCAUGGCCUUUAUGUUCAGGGCUACACACGUGCUACAAUGGAUGGUACAAAACGUCGCAAUCUCGCAAGAGGGAGCUAAUCGCAAAAACCAUUCUCAGUUCGGAUUGGAGUCUGCAACUCGACUCCAUGAAGUUGGAAUCGCUAGUAAUCGCAAAUCAGCAUGUUGCGGUGAAUACGUUCCCGGGUCUUGCACACACCGCCCGU